Molecule: ribosomal RNA, 433 nt
Filed under: uncultured bacterium
Lineage: Bacteria
Description: partial 16S ribosomal RNA
Rfam family: Bacterial small subunit ribosomal RNA
Source: RNAcentral
AACGAACGCUGGCGGCAUGCCUAACACAUGCAAGUCGAACGAAGUCUUCGGACUUAGUGGCGCACGGGUGCGUAACGCGUGGGAAUCUGCCCUUGGGUACGGAAUAACUCAGAGAAAUUUGUGCUAAUACCGUAUAAUGUCUUCGGACCAAAGAUUUAUCGCCCAAGGAUGAGCCCGCGUAAGAUUAGCUAGUUGGUGGGGUAAAAGUCUACCAAGGCGACGAUCUUUAGCUGGUCUGAGAGGAUGAUCAGCCACACUGGGACUGAGACACGGCCCAGACUCCUACGGGAGGCAGGAGUGGGGAAUAUUGGAAAAUGGGCGAAAGCCUGAUCCAGCCAUGCCGCGUGAGUGAUGAAGGCCCUAGGGUUGUAAAGCUCUUUUACCAGGGAUGAUAAUGACAGUACCUGGAGAAUAAGCGCCGGCUAACUCCGUG